AUAAAGGGUAGGGUUAAAGAAACCGCUGAAAUUGUGGGUUUCAGAACGUUUAUUAAACCCUUUUUC
Molecule: transfer RNA, 66 nt
Filed under: Lumbricus rubellus (humus earthworm)
Lineage: Eukaryota; Metazoa; Annelida; Clitellata; Crassiclitellata; Lumbricidae
Description: tRNA-His
Source: RNAcentral